UCCCUGGUGGUCCAGGGGUUAAGACUCCACACUCCCAAUGCCAGUGUCUCAGGUUCAAUCCCUGGUCAGGGAA
This is a transfer RNA of Ovis aries (sheep), 73 nucleotides long. It matches the Rfam family "tRNA". From Rfam's summary of the family: Transfer RNA (tRNA) molecules are approximately 80 nucleotides in length. Their secondary structure includes four short double-helical elements and three loops (D, anti-codon, and T loops). The record is from Rfam. NCBI's taxonomy places the organism in Eukaryota, Metazoa, Chordata, Mammalia, Artiodactyla, Bovidae.